Molecule: small RNA, 167 nt
Filed under: Shuttleworthella satelles DSM 14600
Lineage: Bacteria; Bacillati; Bacillota; Clostridia; Lachnospirales; Lachnospiraceae
Description: Shuttleworthia satelles DSM 14600 Clostridiales-1 RNA
Rfam family: Clostridiales-1 RNA
Source: Rfam by way of RNAcentral
UGAUGAUCAAGCGGAAAGAAUCAUGAGCGCAUGACACGCUUGCGUGCUCAGGCGCUCAUGAUUCGAGAUGUGCCCUACAUGAGCAUGAAGCCAUGCGAAGCAGGGCGAGAAUGCGAAUGUAGGGAGGAUUGCGAGAGCGCGAAGCGCGGAGCAAUCCGUGAUCAUCA